GUCGAGCGAACGGACGAGAAGCUUGCUUCUCUGAUGUUAGCGGCGGACGGGUGAGUAACACGUGGAUAACCUACCUAUAAGACUGGGAUAACUUCGGGAAACCGGAGCUAAUACCGGAUAAUAUUAUGAACCGCAUGGUUCAAAAGUGAAAGACGGUCUUGCUGUCACUUAUAGAUGGAUCCGCGCUGCAUUAGCUAGUUGGUAAGGUAACGGCUUACCAAGGCAACGACGCAUAGCCGACCUGAGAGGGUGAUCGGCCACACUGGAACUGAGACACGGUCCAGACUCCUACGGGAGGCAGCAGUAGGGAAUCCUCCGCAAUGGGCGAAAGCCUGACGGAGCAACGCCGCGUGAGUGAUGAAGGUCUUCGGAUCGUAAAACUCUGUUAUUAGGGAAGAACAUAUGUGUAAGUAACUGUGCACAUCUUGACGGUACCUAAUCAGAAAGCCACGGCUAACUACGUGCCAGCAGCCGCGGUAAUACGUAGGUGGCAAGCGUUAUCCGGAAUUAUUGGGCGUAAAGCGCGCGUAGGCGGUUUUUUAAGUCUGAUGUGAAAGCCCACGGCUCAACCGUGGAGGGUCAUUGGAAACUGGAAAACUUGAGUGCAGAAGAGGAAAGUGGAAUUCCAUGUGUAGCGGUGAAAUGCGCAGAGAUAUGGAGGAACACCAGUGGCGAA
RNAcentral lists this ribosomal RNA (676 nucleotides) under uncultured Staphylococcus sp. Its description in RNAcentral is "bacterial SSU rRNA". It matches the Rfam family "Bacterial small subunit ribosomal RNA", at positions 61 to 719 of the family's 1533-position model. Lineage: Bacteria; Bacillati; Bacillota; Bacilli; Caryophanales; Staphylococcaceae. The record is from RNAcentral.